Molecule: RNA transcript, 2710 nt
Organism: Salvia miltiorrhiza (redroot sage)
Lineage: Eukaryota; Viridiplantae; Streptophyta; Magnoliopsida; Lamiales; Lamiaceae
Exons: 4
Source: RefSeq, a predicted model, not a curated record
GUAAAUGAAUAUGGGAUCCAUCGAUCCACCAAAGUCGACCACCCCAUUUCUGCAAUUUCUUUUCUCUGCGCCGAUCACAAGAUAUCCAUUUCACCCCCACCGGCGAUUCGCCCUACCAGCCGCAACCGCGAUCUGCCACCUUCCACUGCGAUUCGCCGCUCCCUGCUUCGGGAUUCAACCAUGGAUUAUCGCCGCGUCGGCACCCACCAUGACUCGCCGCGCCAUCGUCAACGGCCACUCCGACUCCGACGCUCUCAACAUCGACCCGGCCUCCAUCGCCGCGAUCUGCCUACGCCACCUCCAUCGAUAAACAUACCGCCUCCACCGUGAUUCGCCGGCCCUGCAUCGAUCUAACCCAUCCCAUAUUUCUCUCUCUUCAAGCAUCUCAAACCAUUUCUGACCAUGGAGGUGUUGAAAGCUCAAAACUGCACUUCCCCCACCACGAUUCGCCCCGCUGGCCUCCGCCGCGAUCUGCCACCUCCCUUACUCCCUCCCCCACCGCGAUUCGCGGCGUCGGCCCUGCAUCGAUCUACCCAUGGUAAGUUUUUCUCCUCCAUGGUAAGUUUUCUAUUAGGAAAGAUUACAAUAGUAAAUAUAGAAUGAUUUCUCUACUUUAGAAAGAACUUUUUUUGGAAAGAUUAAAAGUAUAUACAAGGUAAAUGUUUAACAAUAGGAAUGAUUUCUCUACUUUAGAAAGAACUUUUUUUGGAAUGAUUUCUCUUUCACGCAAUACAUGAUUUUUGGUUUGGAUUUUGUUAAUUAACUCUAUAUGAUUGCCACCUCUCCUCAUCGGCGCCGCCGAUCCCUUCCAACGCAGGUUUAUCGCCGCCUCCUCUGCCAUGGUAAGUAUUCAAUUAGGAAAUAUUACAAUUGUAAAUAUAGAAUGAUUUCUUGCCACCGUGAUUCUUCUUACACAUAAAUGGUAAGUAUUAAAUCAGUUUGCUGAUUUAACACGUUUGACUAUUGUGAAUAUAGAAUGAUUGUGGUCAACUUUAGAAAGAACAAAUUUUGGAAUGAAGUUUUAAAAUGGAAACUUAUAACCUAGAUUUUUAGCUAUAAAUUCCUUAGUUAAAAUGAUUUACAGCGCAUUGUGUUUUACAGCCAACGCAAUGUACCUUUCUUUUCUUUUGCCGCAACCGGAUCCCUUACGGUGAGAUUCUCAUUGCUGAGCUAUUGAUGGUGAAAAGAAUAGGUUGUGUUUGUUCUUCAUACUUUGAGGUUCUUAUUUUUGUUGUCUGGUUCAUUCAGUUUCAUGUUUCUUUCCGACCAAGUAAGUUUGAUCUUCUGGCCCCAUGACAUAACUGAAAGCAUAAGCUGCUUCUUUACAUUGUUAUAUCCUGCCUUGCACUUAUUUGCCUCUUGGGUAUUUACUGAUUAGUAUAAUAUUUACUUGGUCAGUCGUCAUUUCUCUAGAAUAUUAGUAUCAUUGUUUAGUUCGUGGAUAUAACUCUAAUAUUUUCCAUGAGUGACAUAGUAUUAGAUUAUUUGAGAUGUAAUAUUAUAACUUUUUUUGUUGGCUUCUCAGUAAAGUUGCGGCUUUUUAUGUUGGUAUAAUUCAUCUUUAAGAAUAUGUGAAUGGUGUUGCAGUUCAUUAUUCAAGUUUCUAUGGUGAGUCAUUUUAAUUAAGAGGAAAGCUUGCUUUAUGAUUCUUGCUUGCAGCAAUACACUGGCACCUUGCGAAGAUUUUGAUACACCUAGCAUGGUCAUUGCAGGAGUCUGCAGAUGUGGAACUAUUAUCAUUGUUUUUCAAUUGCUGAGUUUUGUUCUGUCAACUUUGUUGUCAGUUUUCUAAAUAGAUAACCUUUAUUUUCUAACAUGUCCAGGAAUAUUGCAGGACAAGAGAGAUUUAGGAGUUUCAUCCCAAGAUAAUAUAAGAGACUCCUUUGUUGUAGUCAUAGUUUAUGAUGUUGCUUUAUAUGUUCAAGCUGUUUAAAAUUCUCGGUUGCAUGGGAGCACGAACAAUUUUCAAGGCUGAGAGUUACUGCUGCAACACUGUCCGAGCUUUCUGUCGCACCUGAUUAUAUAGAAAGUGCUGGAGGUCUGUCAGAUAGCAUUUUGUAACUCGAAGAAUGAGAAUCGCUUAUCUUUGUCUUCGAAUUUGGAACUCCUUUCUUUUCUUUCCUGUAUGAAUCUUUCUUUAGUCAACCAUGGUCACCUCUGCAGUCAUUUUGUUGAUGAAGAUUCAAUAACUAAUGUGGGUGCAAAGUUUUCAUAUUGGGUUUCAUGGUACUUCUUUAUUUGUUCUUUACGUAUCCAUAGGAAUAUCAUCUCCAAUUGGUUUGUGGUCCAUUCAUUCAGACACCAAUUUAGUUUGUAUUUAGAUUUGUUGGAUUUUAUCUUCAUACUAUGAAAACUGAGAUUGUAGUGGGUGGCGGAUAUCCGACGGGUAGCAAGUUGGUGGAUACCCGACGGUUGGCGGGUAUCUGCAAGUCGCGGGACGUCGACACCGAGAAACAACAGCUCCCCUACCUCUCAAGCCUCGGCGGGUAUCUGACGGGUAGUGGGUGGCGGGUAUUCGACGGAUAGCGGGUGACGGAUACCUGAUGGGUGGCGAGUAUCUGUUGGUCGCGUGUAUGGGUGGAAAAUAAUUUUUUUGAAUAUAUGUGUCGCUAAGUCAUGUUAAGGAUGAAAGUCAUCUUUAAUUUAUUUUUUCAUUUUAGUUUGAUGUGUAACAUUGACCUAUAUCAUAUUAACAAUUUUUUUAGUGAAU